CAGGCAAGGAACAGACCCG
RNAcentral lists this unclassified non-coding RNA (19 nucleotides) under Mus musculus (house mouse). Its description in RNAcentral is "oocyte_clustered_small_RNA11074". The record is from RNAcentral. Lineage: Eukaryota; Metazoa; Chordata; Mammalia; Rodentia; Muridae.